RNAcentral lists this transfer RNA (77 nucleotides) under Candidatus Fimenecus excrementigallinarum. Its description in RNAcentral is "tRNA-Arg". It matches the Rfam family "tRNA". Rfam says of the family: Transfer RNA (tRNA) molecules are approximately 80 nucleotides in length. The record is from RNAcentral. Lineage: Bacteria; Bacillati; Bacillota; Clostridia. RNAcentral also lists the same sequence under 1 other name.
GCGCUUGUAGCUCAGCUGGAUAGAGCGUCAGACUCCGACUCUGAAGGCCGCUGGUUCGAAUCCAGUCAAGCGCGCCA